This 429-nucleotide ribosomal RNA is filed under the name Bacteroidota bacterium. Its description in RNAcentral is "Bacteroidetes bacterium partial 16S ribosomal RNA". It matches the Rfam family "Bacterial small subunit ribosomal RNA", at positions 355 to 776 of the family's 1533-position model. The record is from RNAcentral. RNAcentral also lists the same sequence under 1 other name. Lineage: Bacteria; Pseudomonadati; Bacteroidota.
UAGGGAAUCUUCGGCAAUGGGGGGAACCCUGACCGAGCAACGCCGCGUGAGUGAAGAAGGUUUUCGGAUCGUAAAGCUCUGUUGUUAAGGAAGAACGAGUGUGAGAAUGGAAAGUUCAUGCUGUGACGGUACUUAACCAGAAAGGGACGGCUAACUACGUGCCAGCAGCCGCGGUAAUACGUAGGUCCCGAGCGUUGUCCGGAUUUAUUGGGCGUAAAGCGAGCGCAGGCGGUUAGAAAAGUCUGAAGUGAAAGGCAGUGGCUCAACCAUUGUAGGCUUUGGAAACUGUUUAACUUGAGUGCAGAAGGGGAGAGUGGAAUUCCAUGUGUAGCGGUGAAAUGCGUAGAUAUAUGGAGGAACACCGGUGGCGUGAGCGGCUCUCUGGUCUGUAACUGACGCUGAGGCUCGAAAGCGUGGGGAGCGAACAGG